AUUUAAAAUAAUCUAUUUACAUAGGAGGAAGCUAUUCAAUAAUCCGGUGUAUAACUAGCAUGAUGCAGAAAUGAAUUAGUAUACUCAAGUGCUCUGAAAACAAAAGGCAUGAUUACACAUUUUAAUUAGAAUAAAAUAAUGACGUGGUAUUCUGAAAGUAGCACCAAACAUUCUUCUUGUAGAUAAAGGUGAAAUUCGUAAGUAGAACUUUUUAUUGUUUGAUCAGGGGAAAACUUUAUUGACAAAAUGAAUAAACUGAAAUAUAUUUAGAUUUAGUUAACUGCGUUUUGAGUGCUUCGUAAAGCCUCAGUGUCACCUUAACGGAUAGAUCGAAAGAAUGCCGAACGGGUAACUUUUUUAAAAUCCGUUCAUGUACUUUAGACGUCCGUUCUUAUCCGUUAGACGUCCGUCCAUAUCCGUUUCAUGUCCGUUUAGGAUACGUUUCAUCCGUCCACGUCCAUUCUGUUCGGUGAAAAAUUUUGAGCAUGUUCAGUUUAGUAUGUUCUAUGGUUAAAAAAUGUAUUCUGUUUUUCGUUUUUGCUCAUGUGCCAUGUGUAUAUGCCUUGUUGUGUUAUUUUGGUUACAUAUGACGUAGCUCUGGACAUAAACAUCCCGUUAUUGAGCUAAUGUACUAUGUUAAAUUUUUGGAUUCUUGUCUUACAUUUUUGCUCAUGUGCAAUGUAUUUAUUCUUUGUUACAUAAUUCAUUGUUUUAUAGUGAUUAAGAUUAUAAAUCAAUAUUGAUUGUUGUUCCCCUAUUUUUGACAUUUUUACCUAUUACGUCUGUUCGAUUUGUACAUACAUCGUUGUCAAAAUAAUGCAAUUGUAUGCGAAUGCCGUACAGGUGAGAGAUUUAGCUAGCUGUCAAACCAGGUUUUAUCAACCAUUUUCUAUUUAAGGAAAUGCCUGUACCAAGUCAGGAAAAAGACAGUUGUUAUCCAUUCGUUUGAUGUGUUUGAGGUUUUUUGAUUACGUACUUUCCGUUUGAAUUUUCCUCUGAGUAUGCUAUUUUUGUUAUUUUACUUUUUAUUUGUUUUUAAAUUUACAAUCGGUUAGGAAUUAUGGAAACAGUAGUUUACCUCAAUGUUCAAAUCUCCAAAAAAUGGACUGAGAUAAAGGUACUAACCAAGAACUAGAUUCAAAAUUAAAGUUGUUUAGGGUAGUUAGUCUGUACAUCUGAGUUUUAAGUCUGAAAACUGUAGCGAUGGUGUAAAAUGUACGAUUGACAGUUAAAAAUAGUAGCACUAAUUGUAGAAAACUCUCAAGCGUUUGUAUUUCAUACAGACAUAUGAUGUGUCAAUCGAUGAACUAUGUUUAAACAUGAAUAUGUCGAAUACCUGUUAGAUACAAAAUAUAGAGAUGUAGUAUGAGUGCCAAUGUAACAACUAUCUAUUAAAGACCAAUGGACAAUUAAAAUAAUUACGGUUUUCUCCAAUGAGUAAAACCCGAAUCAUAUAGUGAUUGAUUUUAAGGUCUCGGGAUUGCAAAAUACCAAAUUAUUCAAAGAAAAUGGCAACUAUAUGAUUCAUGAUACAACAACAAUAGAUACAAAGUAAUGGCAGACAGCAAUUCCUGGAUAGCGUGUUCCUGGUUUGUGACAGACAUGAAUUCAUCAAUACUAUCUUUUAGAUAGACAAAAGUAAAUUCUUAAAUAACAAAAAUACCGAACUAAAAGGAAAAUUCAAAACGGAAAAAAACCCUUAACAAAAAGCAAAGUCAAAAGCUCAAACACAUCAUACGAAUGGAAACUACUGUCAUACUGUAGAAAGUGGUGGAUUACACCUACUUUUAUAGCUGCUUAAUUAAACCUCUCACUUGUAUGUUAAUCAAAUAAAAUGUGAUUUUAUUUACAACAAGUGGGAGCAGAGCAAAAACAAACAUGAUAUAUAAAAACGCCAAAAAUGAGCGCACAAUCUGCCAUCGAAAAAAGCAUGCAUUUUUGUAAAGGUACUUUUUUUCUGUUGAACUAAUAAGAGAAAAAAAAAGGUAAUGUCGAAAUAAAAAAAAAAUUAACAGAGAUUGCUACAAUUUUACAAUAGUUUAGUUUAAGUACAGCUUAUUUGAAAAAAAAUAAUAAUAUAGGUCACCGAUGAGUUAAAAAAGAUAUUCCAAUUUAAAAGCAAAAAAAAAAAGUGACAUUUUUUCACCAAGUGGAGAUAAUUUGGAGAUUUUUUUAAUGACACAAACCUAUUUAAAAGUCAUCUGGGGCUAAAACGAAUAGAUUUUUGGAGUGAUUUUUUUUACCAUAUCAUAAAGUUACAACUUAUAGUGUAAGCAAUAAAACUUGUAAUGAACAAUUUAUAUGUUUAAAUUUUUGCUGAAUUUGUUGUACCCUCGAGCCUCCUUAAAGCCAAAAUUUGAUGAAUCAAUGAUCAGCUCCAGUAGCUAAAAUAACGUACUCAUUAAAACCGGAGAAAAUGCAAACGCGAUCUGAAUAUGAACCUUGCUUUGAUUAAGACAGACACAGUGAGCCAGAUUUUUAGGGAAAACGGUACUAUUACACACCCAAGGCAGGUGAAACAAGUCAAAUUACAUUGUAGGAGCGCUGUGAUUGGAUGUAAGGGUACAAUAUUUUUUUUAUUUAUCUAUCAUGAAUAAAUGCAGUGUGUAUAAAAUUGAGAAUGGAAAUGGGGAAUGUGUCAAAGAGACAACAACCCGCCCAAAUAAAAAACAACAGCAGAGGGUCACCAACAGGUCUUCAAUGUAGCGAGAAAUUCCCGCACCCGGAGGCGUCUUUCAGCUGGCCCCUAAACAAAUAUAUACUAGUCCAGUGAUAAUGACGCCAUACUAAUUUCCAAAUUGUACACAAGAAACUAAAUUAAAAUAACACAGACUAACAAAGGCCAGAGGCUCCUGACUUGGGACAGGCGCAAAAAAUGCGGCGGGUUAAACAUGUUUGUGAGAUCUCAACCUCCCCCUAUACCUCUAACUAAUGUAGUAAAGUAAACGCAUAACAAUACGCAAAUUAAAAUUCAGUUCAAGAGAAAUCCGAGUCUGAUGUCAGAAGAUGUAACCAAAGAAAAUAAACAAAAUGACAAUAAUACAUAAAUAACAACAGACUACUAGCAGUUAACUGACAUGCCAGCUCCAGACUUCAACUAAACUGACUGAAAGAUUAUGAUUUCAUCAUAUGAACAUCAGGCACAAUCCUCCCUUCCGUUAGGGGUUUAGUAUCAUACCAUCAUAACAUAUAUGAGAAACAUAACCCGUGUCAUGCCAACAACUGUUUUUAGAAUAAAUGUGUUUAGUUCCGAUGCCAAAGACCUUAUCAAUGACUCAAUAUUAACGCCAAAAUAUGCAAUCUUUAAUGAUUGCAACAGUAUCGUAUUAUAUCCCUUCUUAAUAAGUCUAUUCAAAGGUUUUGUAAGUUUCUGAGGUGAAUACUGACACCUUUGUGCUUUAUAAAGAAUAUUACCAUAAAAAAUUGGAUGUGAAAUACCUGAACGUAUUAAAAGUCUGCAUGUUGAGCUAUAUUUACGAAUAAUGUCUUUAUACCGAUGAUAAAAUUUAGUAAAUGUUUUGACUAGUUUGUGAUAUCGAAAACCCUGGUGUAAUAAUUUUUCAGUAAUACAUAAAUUUCUCGUUAAAAAUCUAAAACAUUGUUACAUUACACGAGCGAAUCGUACAAGUUGAGUAUAUAAACACCGUAAGAUGGUGACAAGGGAACGUCACCAUCUAAAAACGAUAAUUAACGAUAGGAAAUGAAAAAUCAUCCUUUUAUCAUAAAUUUUAGUAUUCAGCUUUUCCAUUAGUGAUAUAGAUUCAAGAUCGAGAAAAGGGCAGUGGUCAUUGUUAGUAUUAGCUUUAUUUAAAGUAAGUUCAACAGGAUAUUUACAAUUAUAAAUUUUUAAACCUAUUGAAAUAUUUUAUAGAAAAUUAUUCGAAAAGACUUCCAAAAUUUCAUAAAUUUGGUGUAAAAUAACGGUUUGCAUGGAUAACAUAAACAAGCUGCGUUGGAAAUUGGUCAGGAUACUAUUUGGCUUUAAUUCUUAAAACAGAAUAAUAAAGUACUACACCACUGUUUUAUCCAGGUUUUUAUUAUAAAAAGUGGUAAAUUUAGAAAAUAGUAGUAUUGUCGUCAAUGGCAGAAUAAAUAGUAUCGUUUUCCCUUUAGGCUGACGGUUUAUAAUACAAUUCAAAAGACAAGUUUCGAACCAUUAUGUCGUUUCCCCCUAGUCCGAGAUUACUCUGACGUGCAACGAACGGCUGUUUUGCCAGACAAGCUGGGGCCGUGGGACGUCAGAGCUCGUCCCAUAUCAAAAAGUGGAUAUUUGGCCACCCAAAAUAGAUGCGCUGCUUCGUCACUUCUGGUGCCAAUUGAGGGCCUUCAAAUUAUAUAAAUCGGGCAUCAAUUUGUUCAUUUUUCAUUUAUCUCUUCAUUUAUGUAAGUUUCACCUACCUGGCAACCUUUAUUUUUCCAUAUUUUAACAGUUUUCACAGAGACCCAUCGAUUUCUUCAUUUUGACUUGUAAUCUCGGACUAGUUCUCCCCUUUCCAAUCCUGUUUUACAGAAAAAUUACCCGAGAUUAAACACAUGUUGAAGAGUAUGAACAACUCUUUCUAGAAUAUGAACAAAUGCAUGAAUGCUUUGAUUAUUGAAGCGGUGCUUCUUUAAUGCGUCUGUAUACGUACCUCUGUUUUUCUAUCUAUAGGUGUGUCUCCUAUAAUUCUUUCAACCUAAUCCUUUGCUUUCUCAAAUAAUAUGUGCGACUUCUCCCUUUUACAUCUCUACUAAAAUACAUUUUAUUUAAUUUUCUACAUAGUUUGAUAAAUUAAAUACAUGUGUUUGGGAGGUCAUAUAUGAUGUUGAUGAUCGUUGUUAGGACUGCCCUACGAAAGCUUGUUUUACAUCAUAAGACUUGUCUGUGAGACGUCAUAAGACACGUCAUAAGACCAUCCUCUAAGGACUAAUCCUAGGACACUUUUAUUGACAUGAUCCUGAAUCAUAACCAGAUUAUGGAUAUUUUUUAAAGUGUAUUUUCUGUUUACUGGCGACUCGUUAGCGGAGACAGUAAACGUGUAUUUGCGACCAUCAAACCACCAAUUGAUGCCGUCGGAGCUUAAAAUACAAUAUUGGUAUCUCCAUUCUAAUGAAACUGAAAAUUAACAACGUUUAUACAUGUAUUUAAAAUCUGUCAUAUAUCGUCUGCGCUUGCGCGUUCGUUCCAUGAAAAUUAGUGACGUUAUCCAAUCAAAAUGAACGUUACAAACGUUGUUGCCUUUUUAUUCUUUGCCUAACUAUUAUUCUUUGUAAACGGAAGUAAUCGGUUAAUUCUAUUAGAGUAUGUUUUGACUUAUUAUUCAUUCGCUUAUGUAGUAGCUAUUUAACAAACCGAUAAUUUAUUCAAAAUAUUGAAAUAAUGUAUUCAUUGCUACUUUCAGGUAACAAUGGCCAUAUUUGAAAGAAAUUGUACGCCAUGGAUACGAAAUUUAUUCGAAGUGGACAAUGUUACAACAAAUGAAAUAAACCACGCCUUCAGCGAGAGAAAUUUACCGGGAAUUUUAUUUGUCUCAACCUUAAGCCUUCUUGGCCUUAGUGGAAAUUUUCUUGUGAUUUGGAUUUUCGGUUUUAAAUUCAAUCAGUCGUCUUAUCGAAUUUAUGUGCUAUGUCUCGCUGUGUUGGAUUUUAUAAAUUGCUUCAUGACAAUGCCUUUCGUACUCACUUAUCUAUUGUAUAUGGAAAGUUAUCCCUCGGAAUUUUUAUGUAAGAUUGGUCAUUUCAUUGGAUUUUUCAUCGGAAUUGCCUCCCCUUUUACAUUAAUUCUAAUAGCCGCAGAUCGAUACAGGAAUAUUUGUAGACCACUUAGUUUACAAUGGUCUGCAAGACGAGCAAAACUUAUGUGCUUAUUUAUAAACAUCGUAGCUCUAUUUAUUUCAUGGUACGUUCCUAUUGUUUAUGGCACUACCGAAAUUAAAUCGGUCAAUAGGAGCAUUGUACUGGUGCAAUGUUUUAAGGAAAAUGGAACACUUUCACAGACGAUUACUUGGUGGCAGUAUAUCAUUCUGACAGGACUGUUUACACUGGUUUCUGCGUUUAUUAUUGUUAUUUACUUAGUGAUAAUGAUAAAUGUACGCAGAAAAUCCAAACUCUUUACCAAAUAUAAACCUGAAGUACAUAUGCGAGAUGCUAAUAUAACAUUCACGAACAGAAUCAUUCAUACUAAGAAAACAACAAUCACUUUCUUUAUCAUCUCAACAGUGUACGUAUUAAGUUCCUUGGUUCAUCAUAUAUUAGCAUUAUUUCUUCAUGUUAUACAGAAUGUAGAAUGUAAAAUGUCAUACACCCAAAGUGUUCUCUUCUGGUCCUUAUUUUGGACAGUAUUUAUAAAUAACGUUGCAAAUCCUGUUAUAUAUGGCUUAUCUGACACCCGCUUUAAACAGUGUAUAAAAUCAAUGUUUUUAAAUUGAACUAGCACUGAUGAGUCUUAUGAAGUCGAAACGCUCGUCUGUUGUAUUAAAUUAUCAGCCUGGUACGUUUGAUAACUAUUUGAUAAAGAACACCUAGCAAGUCACAUGAGAUCAUUUUUUGGAAGGGUUCGUAUUGCUCAGUCUUUUGUUUUUGAUGUUGUGUUUUGUAUACUGUUGUUUGUCCUUUGUUCUUUUUUUUUUAGGGGGAGGGGUGUGUACUUUAUGCCAUAACAAUGUUAGUUCGUUUUCUACUUUUUACUUUAAAUAUACGCUUGUCAGCCAUUGCAUAAUGUUUAUUAAUAAACAUUUUUUUAAUUGCUUUACCAUUUCCAACUCUUUCUUGGAGUAACAUGUUCGAUAUUUUAACCAACAUCGAUGACAUUUUUUUUAUGAGCAUACCUUUGGAAAGACAACAACAGUUAUAGUGAACAUUUUCUCUGCAGCUAACAGCCUUUCAGUUAAUACUGUCUACCCCCUACACACCC
This 6892-nucleotide long non-coding RNA is filed under the name Mytilus galloprovincialis (Mediterranean mussel). Lineage: Eukaryota; Metazoa; Mollusca; Bivalvia; Mytilida; Mytilidae. The record is from RNAcentral.